Molecule: ribosomal RNA, 112 nt
Filed under: Danio rerio (zebrafish)
Lineage: Eukaryota; Metazoa; Chordata; Actinopteri; Cypriniformes; Danionidae
Source: RNAcentral
GGCAACUGCCAUACCACCCGGUAGCCCAAGUUGCUCAAUGAAGCUAAGCAGAGCUGAGCCUGGUCAGUACCUGGAUAGGAGACUACAUGGGAAAACUAGGUUGCUGUUGGAA